RNAcentral lists this ribosomal RNA (382 nucleotides) under uncultured bacterium. RNAcentral describes it as "bacterial SSU rRNA". It matches the Rfam family "Bacterial small subunit ribosomal RNA", at positions 28 to 410 of the family's 1533-position model. The record is from RNAcentral.
GACGAACGCUGGCGGCGUGCUUAACACAUGCAAGUCGAGCGGUAAGGCCCUUUCGGGGGUACACGAGCGGCGAACGGGUGAGUAACACGUGGGUGACCUGCCCUCAGCUCUGGGAUAAGCCUGGGAAACCGGGUCUAAUACUGGAUAUGACUCCAUGACGCUAUGUUGUGGGGUGGAAAGCCUUGUGCGGCUGAGGAUGGGCCCGCGGCCUAUCAGCUUGUUGGUGGGGUGAUGGCCUACCAAGGCGACGACGGGUAGCCGGCCUGAGAGGGCGACCGGCCACACUGGGACUGAGACACGGCCCAGACUCCUACGGGAGGCAGCAGUGGGGAAUCUUGCGCAAUGGGCGAAAGCCUGACGCAGCGGCGCCGCGUGAGGGAUG